Molecule: ribosomal RNA, 594 nt
Filed under: uncultured fungus
Lineage: Eukaryota; Fungi
Description: eukaryotic LSU rRNA
Rfam family: 5.8S ribosomal RNA (bases 218-371)
Source: RNAcentral
CUUGGUCAUUUAGAGGAAGUAAAAGUCGUAACAAGGUCUCCGUUGGUGAACCAGCGGAGGGAUCAUUACCGAGUUUACAACUCCCAAACCCCUGUGAACAUACCUAUACGUUGCCUCGGCGGAUCAGCCCGCGCCCCGUAAAACGGGACGGCCCGCCCGAGGACCCCUAAACUCUGUUUUUAGUGGAACUUCUGAGUAAAACAAACAAAUAAAUCAAAACUUUCAACAACGGAUCUCUUGGUUCUGGCAUCGAUGAAGAACGCAGCAAAAUGCGAUAAGUAAUGUGAAUUGCAGAAUUCAGUGAAUCAUCGAAUCUUUGAACGCACAUUGCGCCCUUUGGUAUUCCAAAGGGCAUGCCUGUUCGAGCGUCAUUUGUACCCUCAAGCUUUGCUUGGUGUUGGGCGUUUUUGUCUUUGGCCCGCCAAAGACUCGCCUUAAAAUGAUUGGCAGCCGGCCUACUGGUUUCGCAGCGCAGCACAUUUUUGCGCUUGCAAUCAGCAAAAGAGGACGGCAAUCCAUCAAGACUCCUUCUCACGUUUGACCUCGGAUCAGGUAGGGAUACCCGCUGAACUUAAGCAUAUCAAUAAGCGGAGG